CAUUAGAUUUUCCACGGAUUUUCCAUUGAAAUAUUGCGUAUUGAAAUACACCCGGAGGUGAUUUCGACGCGGAUAAUUAGUCGUGAAGGAGGUGGGGCUGAUGAUGCGGAAGUACUGGCUGAUUUUAUAGCUCAUUGAGAGUGAAAUUCACGUCUUCAAAAGUCAUUGGAGCGAUCAAAUAUUUUUUAAAGCUUGAGAAAAUUAUAAUUACCCACUACUCACUCAUCAUGGUGAAGACAAUGUAUAUAAUUUAUCUCAAGGGAAUAAACGCACUAUUCUCGAUUGGAAUACUUCAGCAAAUCGUUAGGGACGAAAACCACGUAAUGCUAUUUUUCUAAAGGCCGUGUUUAGCAACACCACCCGUUUCAUCGCUUUUACCCGUACGAGGUCUCGGAUUGUUGCUGGAAUUACGAAAUUGUGGAUAAAAAAAAAUUCCACUCGACUGAAUUAAAUUCCACUAUUUUUAAAACUACUUCACCUGAAUUUCUGGCAUAGAAAAAAAAUCGAAUUAAAAUUCUUUUACGCCUUAGUAUAUUUUACUCAGGAGUCUCACACCGAAAAAAAAAAUCUCUCAGUUGAAAUAAUAACUAUUUUCGAUUUUGUAUGGAAGCUGACAAUAAUAGCAAUAAAAGCUGGGAAUGAAAAGCAGCACCUACCUUUCAAUAUCCACACAACAACAAAUUUUCCCCAACAAAAUGCACAAAAAAUCGCAAACAAAAUAUGCAAAAAAAAUGCAACCAAAAAAAUGCUCAAACACAAAUGGAUAAAGUGUCUGAAUAACUGGAGUAGGAUGCAGGUAAACUCCUCAGAAGCCACAAAAAAAAUAGCAAAUACAAGCCGAAAAUACUCACCUAAUGAAC
Long non-coding RNA from Diachasmimorpha longicaudata, 860 nucleotides. RefSeq lists it as uncharacterized. Lineage: Eukaryota; Metazoa; Arthropoda; Insecta; Hymenoptera; Braconidae. The record is from RefSeq and is a predicted model, not a curated record. The transcript is spliced from 3 exons.